Molecule: ribosomal RNA, 228 nt
Filed under: uncultured bacterium
Lineage: Bacteria
Description: partial 16S ribosomal RNA
Rfam family: Bacterial small subunit ribosomal RNA
Source: RNAcentral
CGGGUGAGUAAUACAUCGGAACGUGUCCUAUCGUGGGGGAUAACUGAUCGAAAGAUCAGCUAAUACCGCGUAAGACCUGAGGGUGAAAGUGGGGGAUCGCAAGACCUCACGCGAUUGGAGCGGCCGAUGCCCGAUUAGCUAGUUGGUGAGGUAAAGGCUCACCAAGGCGACGAUCGGUAGCUGGUCUGAGAGGACGACCAGCCACACUGGGACUGAGACACGGCCCAG